This 558-nucleotide ribosomal RNA is filed under the name Pseudo-nitzschia fraudulenta. RNAcentral describes it as "partial Bacterial large subunit ribosomal RNA". It matches the Rfam family "Bacterial large subunit ribosomal RNA", at positions 595 to 1154 of the family's 2925-position model. The record is from RNAcentral. Lineage: Eukaryota; Bacillariophyta; Bacillariophyceae; Bacillariales; Bacillariaceae.
GACUGCGUACCUUUUGUAUAAUGGGUCAGCGACUUAUAUUUUGUAGCGAGGUUAACCGAUUAGGGGAGCCGUAGCGAAAGCGAGUCUUAACUGGGCGCGUAGUUGCAAGGUAUAGACCCGAAACCCGGUGAUCUAGCCAUGGGCAGGUUGAAGGUUGAGUAACAUCAACUGGAGGACCGAACCCACUAACGUUGAAAAGUUAGGGGAUGACUUGUGGCUGGGGGUGAAAGGCCAAUCAAACCGGGAGAUAGCUGGUUCUCCCCGAAAUCUAUUUAGGUAGAGCCUCGGACGAAUUCCAUUGGGGGUAGAGCACUGUUAAGGCUAGGGGGUCAUCCCGACUUACCAACCCUUUGCAAACUCCGAAUACCAAAGAGAACUAUCCGGGAGACACACGGCGGGGGCUAACGUCCGUCGUGAAAAGGGAAACAACCCUGACCUCCAGCUAAGGCCCCUAAUUCAUGGCUAAGUGGGAAAGCAGGUGGGACGACCAAAACAACCAGGAGGUUGGCUUAGAAGCAGCCACCCUUUAAAGAAAGCGUAAUAGCUCACUAGUCGAGU